This 607-nucleotide ribosomal RNA is filed under the name Staphylococcus epidermidis. Its description in RNAcentral is "bacterial SSU rRNA". It matches the Rfam family "Bacterial small subunit ribosomal RNA", at positions 80 to 674 of the family's 1533-position model. The record is from RNAcentral. Lineage: Bacteria; Bacillati; Bacillota; Bacilli; Caryophanales; Staphylococcaceae.
UGCUCUCUGACGUUAGCGGCGGACGGGUGAGUAACACGUGGAUAACCUACCUAUAAGACUGGGAUAACUUCGGGAAACCGGAGCUAAUACCGGAUAAUAUAUUGAACCGCAUGGUUCAAUAGUGAAAGACGGUUUUGCUGUCACUUAUAGAUGGAUCCGCGCCGCAUUAGCUAGUUGGUAAGGUAACGGCUUACCAAGGCAACGAUGCGUAGCCGACCUGAGAGGGUGAUCGGCCACACUGGAACUGAGACACGGUCCAGACUCCUACGGGAGGCAGCAGUAGGGAAUCUUCCGCAAUGGGCGAAAGCCUGACGGAGCAACGCCGCGUGAGUGAUGAAGGUCUUCGGAUCGUAAAACUCUGUUAUUAGGGAAGAACAAAUGUGUAAGUAACUAUGCACGUCUUGACGGUACCUAAUCAGAAAGCCACGGCUAACUACGUGCCAGCAGCCGCGGUAAUACGUAGGUGGCAAGCGUUAUCCGGAAUUAUUGGGCGUAAAGCGCGCGUAGGCGGUUUUUUAAGUCUGAUGUGAAAGCCCACGGCUCAACCGUGGAGGGUCAUUGGAAACUGGAAAACUUGAGUGCAGAAGAGGAAAGUGGAAUUCCAUGU